RNAcentral lists this long non-coding RNA (2298 nucleotides) under Anser brachyrhynchus (Pink-footed goose). RNAcentral's name for it is "lncRNA (ENSABRG00000017639.1)". Lineage: Eukaryota; Metazoa; Chordata; Aves; Anseriformes; Anatidae. The record is from RNAcentral.
GUCCCAGGCUGAGGUAGACCCCGGGCUGGGGGUGAUCGCGGCCCCAGUGUGAGGGGGUCCCGGUCUGAGGGGGUCCUGGGUCAGUGUGGGGGAUGUGGGUCCCUGCCUGAGGUGGGGGGAUCUGAUCUGAGGGGGGUCCUGGAGCCGGUCCCGGUCUGAGGGGGUCCUGGACCUGGUCCUGGUCUGAGGGGGUCCCUGUUAGAGGGGAUCCCGGGCCCAAGGAAGAUUUGGGUCCCUGCCUGGGGUGGGGGGAUCCAGUCUGAGGAGAGCCCAGGUUUGAAGGGGGUCCUGCUUUGGGGGGGUCCCAAUCUGAGGGGGUCCCGAUCCCUGUCCCGGCCCCGCUCCGUGGCACAGCCCCUUGUACCCCCACUCCUCGGAGCCUCACCCAGCCCCGAGCGGGGCCCUCCCGGACCUGUGGGGUCCCCCCAGAGCUUGUGGGGCUCCCCCAGGGCCUGGCCUGGCCUCCACCAAGGUGCCCAGGGCUGGUCACAGCCCACGGCUGCCCCUCCACGGCGCUGCCCCCGUGGGAUCCACGGCCACCCAGGGCUGAGGGGUCCCCAGGGCGAUGGCUCUGGGGGGGGUGGCUCUGGGGCCGGUGACCCCCAAGGGGGACGUGCAGCCAUCACCGACCUUUUCUCUGGGAAUCUCGGUAAAUACGUCAGCUUUGGGGUGGAGAAAUCUCUUGUGCUCCCUCUUGGGGGAUUUGGGGUCUGGGAGGGAUGCGGUGGAGCCCCGAGGCCGAGCAACGGGCACGGGAGGCAGGGUUUGUGCUGCCUGGGGUCGUUCUCCUUCACGCACGGCAUCUGUGGGUUUGCGCAGCAGCUCCUGUCCCUCGUGCAGCCGAAGGCUUUGGCUUUCCUCCCGGUGCCACGGCCAGCCGGUUGGGAAGGGACAAGCGGACGGCAUGCUGCGUGAUCGCUGCGGGACGGUCUCGGUGCUUCACGGGGCCAGGAGGACGACAGCUGAGCGGCCUUCCAGUCUGGAGGACAAAAGUAACCGGAGCAGGAUCCAGUGGCUGGCGGCUGGCAGAGGACGACUGGGAUUUGGAAUCAGGUGCAGGCCGCUGGAGUGACUCCCCGAGGCGGAUUAACCCGCUCAGAUGUACUGCAUGUUCUCCGGGGGGGCGAGCAGCAGGCUGGCAGGCGACUGGGUCGGAGAGGACAUCUGGAGCAGCCGGUGGAGAAGCUUCCCGGGGGCUGCAGGAGCGCAGGGACGACCGGAGAGGGCAAGGAACGUGCUCCGUGGCACCAGGAGAUGCCGAGGAGACUGGGGAGCUGACGCACAGCCAGGCUUCGGCAGCGAAGGAUCGAGCCUUGCGCAGAGCUCCGGGAGGGACUCGAGUUUCUUUGAAACCUGGAAGCCCCUCAAAGCUGCUGAAAUUGAAGUCGAAGGACAAAAUUCGCUCUUCAAGGGCGCAGUGGAAGGAGACUUGUGUGAAAAAUUACCCUGCUGAAGCUACACUAAUCGCAGCAUGCAGUACGUAUACUUGCAAGCACAGUAGGCAAAGUCUGACCCUGCCAGAUAUCCGAUCUGGCCUGAGAGCUGCUGUGCCGUGGUCUCUGCUGACAGAGGUCCCUGGCACACGUCCCCGUGGGAUCAGAGGAGCCCCCCACGAGGUGGGCACACCGCUGGUGCCUCCGCGUGCUGCCAGACGAAUCCCAACUUCCCAACAGGUUUCUGUCGCCGUGGAAUUAGAGCAGCACAAACGGAAUGUCAUACAAGAUGGUGUCAAAAGCUUUAUGAAAAUCCCUGUGUAUGGCAUCUUCCCGGUGACAUCGAGAGGAUUCUUGAAGACAACUGCUGAGUGCUCUGGAUCUGCGGGUUCAGGAGUCCUCCAUGAUCGAGCCCAGCUCAUCUAAAAAAUAACUCAUCUAAGGACUUUCUGAUCUGUUGCCUCCUUCCGUCAUACCGCUGAAGAUUUCACACUUCUGUCGCUGGGGCUCGCGGGAGUAGCUCCCUUUUUAGUAAAGGCAAAAAAGCAAAAGGAGCGUCGUGCUUGUGACUGUCACCUCCCAGCACCAGUGCUGCGUGGCGGAGCGCUGGACCGCCUCUCACCUUCGCCCUCUGCUUACUGACAGAGCAGCUCCGUCCUCUGAGGCUGUAUAUCCUUUGGAGCCCAGACCUACAGACUUUGUCCCCAGUUCCUCGUGCUUUUCUUAACCGUCCAUCCCAAGUAACCGGAAGUAUUUUUUUUUUUCUUUUCUCUUCUUUUCACUUCUGCCCCACGUUUGAAGCCAAUGCGAAGUUUGUGGUUUUGAAAAGUUGAUCUUUUAAUAAAUUUCGACCACUUCUUCUUCA